Molecule: small nucleolar RNA, 87 nt
Filed under: Mus spicilegus (steppe mouse)
Lineage: Eukaryota; Metazoa; Chordata; Mammalia; Rodentia; Muridae
Description: Small nucleolar RNA SNORA17 (ENSMSIG00000019567.1)
Rfam family: Small nucleolar RNA SNORA17
About the family: snoRNA ACA 17 belongs to the H/ACA family of snoRNAs and is predicted to guide pseudouridylation of the 28S rRNA at positions U4659 and U4598. It shares the same host gene together with ACA43. NB This family has a high threshold value to exclude a large number of closely related sequences that do not appear to have conserved H and ACA boxes, and may be pseudogenes.
Source: RNAcentral
CCUGCCCCUAGAGGUUUUGUAGGUAUGGCUGCAGUAUCACAUGUGUGCCAGUAGGUGGCAGAGAGGACGGAGGCUGUGUCUAAGCUC